Mytilus californianus (California mussel) is the source of this 1104-nucleotide long non-coding RNA. RefSeq lists it as uncharacterized. The transcript has 2 exons. NCBI's taxonomy places the organism in Eukaryota, Metazoa, Mollusca, Bivalvia, Mytilida, Mytilidae. The record is from RefSeq and is a predicted model, not a curated record.
GGGGGUGUCUUAGUUGCGCAGUGCUCACAGUUUUUCUAUAAUGAUUAAUGUAGUUGAUCAUUAAAAUUCAUUUAAAGCAUAAACCCAAGCUAAAAGGACAACAAGCUUAUCAAGCACUCAUGGUACAGCUUUUUAUUAAACACGCAUUGAUAUAUAUACAUUAAACAGCAAAAUGAUUAUUGAUGCAAGAUGUCAUUAAAUAAUAAUUUUUACUCUUUUUAUGUGUAGGACAAGAACUAUAGAAGAUACAGAGAAAUUAUAAACAGCAGAAAUGAUAGGCAAUUUAAAAUUUGCAGAAGUCAACAAAUCCUAAAUGGUGAUCAGACAUCUUGGUUUUCAUGAUCAAUAGGUCAAUACUGAAGAGGACACUGAAAGUUGAUAUCUAUCUACAUGGUGCGCUAAUUGGAUUAAUGUGAGAUGGAAUGUGUGAUUGCCUGCAAAAAAGAAAUAGGAAAUUUCAUCAUAAUCACAUGAUAAUGGCUAUAAACAAAAUGGAGUUCUAUCAUAGAUGCAGAAAUUCACAAUUGUAUACAUGUAAAUGCAACAACAUAUUAUAUAUAUUUGUCGAAAGAAGGGAGAAAUGAAGAAAAAAAUAGUAUUUUGUUGUUGAAAGGAACACCAGCUUUAUCCACUCAUUUCAUCGUUACCUCAUAUCAAAUAUACUGAAGAAGAUCUUCGAAGAACAAAUUGCAAAAAUGUUUUCUCUAAGAAUUGAAGGAAAUUGUUUAGUGAAUGGAAUAAUUUAUGCAUUGAACUUUUACGUAGUGGAUUGAAUAACUGUACACACAUGACACAGCAGCUGAAACAGAGGAAAAUUAAAAUUUACAAGAAAAGUGUUUAUUUUAUUAUUUAAUUUGCAAAUAUGAACGCAUUCUUAAGAACACCACAAAUGGUAUGACAUCCAAAUUGGUUGCUUAUUAAUGUAUACAAUUGAAACAAUAACAAAGAAAACAGAAUACUUUGCUACAAAAAAUAUUUAAUAAAUCAAAGUUAAAGUCUUAUAAAGUAUGUACAAUAUCUUGACCUAAACAGUCAGACUCACUGUAUUGUUUUUGUAUGUCAUGAUAAUUUUGAGGCAAAAAUUUAUUAAAGUUUUAAAUAUCA